RNAcentral lists this ribosomal RNA (1419 nucleotides) under Klebsiella aerogenes. RNAcentral describes it as "bacterial SSU rRNA". It matches the Rfam family "Bacterial small subunit ribosomal RNA". The record is from RNAcentral. Lineage: Bacteria; Pseudomonadati; Pseudomonadota; Gammaproteobacteria; Enterobacterales; Enterobacteriaceae.
GCGGAGGGCCUACCAUGCAAGUCGAGCGGUAGCACAGAGAGCUUGCUCUCGGGUGACGAGCGGCGGACGGGUGAGUAAUGUCUGGGAAACUGCCUGAUGGAGGGGGAUAACUACUGGAAACGGUAGCUAAUACCGCAUAACGUCGCAAGACCAAAGUGGGGGACCUUCGGGCCUCAUGCCAUCAGAUGUGCCCAGAUGGGAUUAGCUAGUAGGUGGGGUAAUGGCUCACCUAGGCGACGAUCCCUAGCUGGUCUGAGAGGAUGACCAGCCACACUGGAACUGAGACACGGUCCAGACUCCUACGGGAGGCAGCAGUGGGGAAUAUUGCACAAUGGGCGCAAGCCUGAUGCAGCCAUGCCGCGUGUAUGAAGAAGGCCUUCGGGUUGUAAAGUACUUUCAGCGAGGAGGAAGGCGUUAAGGUUAAUAACCUUAGCGAUUGACGUUACUCGCAGAAGAAGCACCGGCUAACUCCGUGCCAGCAGCCGCGGUAAUACGGAGGGUGCAAGCGUUAAUCGGAAAUUACUGGGCGUAAAGCGCACGCAGGCGGUCUGUCAAGUCGGAUGUGAAAUCCCCGGGCUCAACCUGGGAACUGCAUUCGAAACUGGCAGGCUAGAGUCUUGUAGAGGGGGGUAGAAUUCCAGGUGUAGCGGUGAAAUGCGUAGAGAUCUGGAGGAAUACCGGUGGCGAAGGCGGCCCCCUGGACAAAGACUGACGCUCAGGUGCGAAAGCGUGGGGAGCAAACAGGAUUAGAUACCCUGGUAGUCCACGCCGUAAACGAUGUCGACUUGGAGGUUGUGCCCUUGAGGCGUGGCUUCCGGAGCUAACGCGUUAAGUCGACCGCCUGGGGAGUACGGCCGCAAGGUUAAAACUCAAAUGAAUUGACGGGGGCCCGCACAAGCGGUGGAGCAUGUGGUUUAAUUCGAUGCAACGCGAAGAACCUUACCUACUCUUGACAUCCAGAGAACUUAGCAGAGAUGCUUUGGUGCCUUCGGGAACUCUGAGACAGGUGCUGCAUGGCUGUCGUCAGCUCGUGUUGUGAAAUGUUGGGUUAAGUCCCGCAACGAGCGCAACCCUUAUCCUUUGUUGCCAGCGGUCCGGCCGGGAACUCAAAGGAGACUGCCAGUGAUAAACUGGAGGAAGGUGGGGAUGACGUCAAGUCAUCAUGGCCCUUACGAGUAGGGCUACACACGUGCUACAAUGGCAUAUACAAAGAGAAGCGACCUCGCGAGAGCAAGCGGACCUCAUAAAGUAUGUCGUAGUCCGGAUUGGAGUCUGCAACUCGACUCCAUGAAGUCGGAAUCGCUAGUAAUCGUAGAUCAGAAUGCUACGGUGAAUACGUUCCCGGGCCUUGUACCCACCGCCCGUCACACCAUGGGAGUGGGUUGCAAAAGAAGUAGGUAGCUUAACCUCGGAGGCGCU